This 813-nucleotide ribosomal RNA is filed under the name uncultured bacterium. RNAcentral describes it as "bacterial SSU rRNA". It matches the Rfam family "Bacterial small subunit ribosomal RNA", at positions 616 to 1430 of the family's 1533-position model. The record is from RNAcentral.
GGGAACUGCGUUNUGAACUGGGUGACUAGAGUGUGUCGGAGGGAGGUAGAAUUCCACGUGUAGCAGUGAAAUGCGUAGAGAUGUGGAGGAAUACCGAUGGCGAAGGCAGCCUCCUGGGAUAACACUGACGUUCAUGCCCGAAAGCGUGGGUAGCAAACAGGAUUAGAUACCCUGGUAGUCCACGCCCUAAACGAUGUCGAUUAGCUGUUGGGCAGCAUGACUGCUUAGUAGCGAAGCUAACGCGUGAAAUCGACCGCCUGGGGAGUACGGUCGCAAGAUUAAAACUCAAAGGAAUUGACGGGGACCCGCACAAGCGGUGGAUGAUGUGGAUUAAUUCGAUGCAACGCGAAGAACCUUACCUGGUCUUGACAUGUACGGAACCCUCCAGAGACGGAGGGGUGCCUUCGGGAGCCGUAACACAGGUGCUGCAUGGCUGUCGUCAGCUCGUGUCGUGAGAUGUUGGGUUAAGUCCCGCAACGAGCGCAACCCUUGUCAUUAGUUGCCAUCAUUAAGUCGGGCACUCUAAUGAGACUGCCGGUGACAAGCCGGAGGAAGGUGGGGAUGACGUCAAGUCCUCAUGGCCCUUAUGACCAGGGCUUCACACGUCAUACAAUGGUCGGUACAGAGGGUAGCCAAGCCGCGAGGUGGAGCCAAUCUCACAAAACCGAUCGUAGUCCGGAUUGCACUCUGCAACUCGAGUGCAUGAAGUCGGAAUCGCUAGUAAUCGCAGGUCAGCAUACUGCGGUGAAUACGUUCCCGGGUCUUGUACACACCGCCCGUCACACCAUGGGAGUGGGGGAUACCAGAAGUAGG